AUGACAAGCGUGACCAAAAAUCAGUUUGGUUUCAUGCCUGGGAGGUCGACCAUGGAAGCCAUUUUCUUGGUACGACAACUUAUGGAGAGAUAUAGGGAGCAUAAGAAGGACUUGCAUAUGGUGUUCAUUGACUUGGAGAAGGCCUAUGAUAAGAUACCGCGGAAUGUCAUGUGGUGGGCCUUGGAGAAACACAAAGUCCCAGCAAAGUACAUUACCCUCAUCAAGGACAUGCACAAUAAUGUUGUGACAAGUGUUCGAACAAGUGAUGUCGACACCGAUGACUUCCCGAUUAAGAUAGGACUGCAUCAGGGGUCAGCUUUGAGCCCUUAUCUUUUUGCAUUGGUGAUGGAUGAGGUCACAAGGGGUAUACAAGGAGAUAUCCCAUGGUGUAUGCUCUUUGCGGAUGAUGUGGUGCUAGUUGACGAUAGUCGGAUGGGGGUAAAUAGGAAGUUAGAGUUAUGGAGACAAACCUUGGAAUCGAAAGGGUUUAGGCUUAGUAGAACUAAAACCGAGUACAUGAUGUGCGGUUUCAGUACUACUAGCUGCGAGGAGGAGGAGGUUAGCCUUGAUGGCCAGGUGGUACCUCGGAAGGACACCUUUCGGUAUUUGGGGUCAAUGUUGCAGGAGGAUGGGGGUAUUGAUGAAGAUGUGAACCAUCGAAUCAAAGCCGGAUGGAUGAAGUGGCGCCAAGCUUCUGGCAUUCUCUGUGACAAGAGAGUGCCACAAAAGCUAAAAGGCAAGUUCUACAGGACGGCGGUUCGACCCGCAAUGUUGUAUGGCGCGGAGUGUUGGCCGACUAAAAGGCGACAUGUUCAACAGUUAGGUGUGGCGGAGAUGCGUAUGUUGAGAUGGAUGUGUGGCCACACGAGGAAGGAUCGAGUCUGGAAUGAUGAUAUACGAGAUAGAGUUGGGGUAGCACCAAUUGAGGAGAAGCUUGUCCAACAUCGUUUGAGAUGGUUUGGGCAUAUUCAGCGCAGGCCUCCAGAAGCUCCAGUGCAUAGCGGACGGGACGAGCAGAAUUAA
Molecule: ribosomal RNA, 1023 nt
Filed under: Triticum aestivum (bread wheat)
Lineage: Eukaryota; Viridiplantae; Streptophyta; Magnoliopsida; Poales; Poaceae
Description: partial small subunit ribosomal RNA
Source: RNAcentral